Molecule: long non-coding RNA, 4591 nt
Filed under: Brassica napus (rape)
Lineage: Eukaryota; Viridiplantae; Streptophyta; Magnoliopsida; Brassicales; Brassicaceae
Description: long non-coding RNA (BNAP_LNC000862)
Source: RNAcentral
UUCUUCUUACAAAAAAAAAAACAUUUUGUAGAGUAAUUUAAUACCCGAAAAAGUUUCUCUAUUGGCACCACACACACACACACACAAAAAGAAAAGAGAGACAGAGGUGUUUGUUUAUUUAUUCAUCAGAACACAUCAAAAGAGUGAUUGAGAAAGAGACUGCAAACACGAGAAACAUCACAACCGUUUCUCUCUCAUUUCUUCUUCGUCUGCAACCAAUCAAAAAAUAACAAUUACUGAGAAAAAUUAACACAUAAAAAAAACUUUUAAUCGAAUUGGAGCUGAAAAAGACACUCACCAGCAGACAGAUCAAUCAAUAGGUAAGUAGGGAGGAUCUCAGAAUCAGAUUCAAUCCAGGAAAAUUAACAAAAGAUAAGGAAGAUUGAUUCUGUUGGCGCGUAGAGAGGAACAGAAGAAUAGAAAACUGAGAGAGAGAGAAGAUGGUAAUUUUUAAAAGGAGAAAGAAACGCAACCACCCAGCUACAAACUCGUUCUUUCUUCUUCAGCUUUCUACUUUUUAUGUGUAGAGAGAGAAAGAAAGUUAUAAACAGAGCAAUAGAGUUUAUUGAUUUUUUUUUUUCCAUAGAGAUUGGGUUUAUUAUUAUAUAAAUAUUUUUUUGAGGCUUUCCUACACACAAUAAAAAGAAUAUCCAUUCAAAUAUAUAAUAAGGUCUCUCGAUCAGUCAAUCAUCACAUGAAAGUGAGAGAUUAUCAGAUUUAAUCCAUUAACAUUAUAAAAUAUGGACUAUACUGCUUCUCUCAAUCCAACUAAGAUUAAGAUUAGAAGAAUCAAAAACUGGUUUAUCAUUUACAGUACUAAACUACUUCUUUGGUCAGCUUAAUCAUUACUAUUUUUAAAGUUAAUCAUGUUUAUGAUAAGUAUACUUUUAUUUAACAAAAGUACGCGGUUGUUAUGAAAAAAAAUGACUGUUUAACGAGGAUAAAAAUCAAAAUAUAUAAAAUAUUUCAUUUUGUAAGAAUUAUGGUGGAUAAAAUGGUACUACUAUCGUUGUAUUUAAUUUGAUUGGAAUGACAGAAGGGAACAAACUCUCAGCUGUGGAACCCAGAAGAAGGGUCACUAAACACAUGCAUGCACACAAGAACUCAAUACACAUGUCGGCAACGAGGCGCAGAUUCCAACACGUUAUCAAACUUCUUCUCAUGCAAGCAGAUCUGCAGAUCAACGUUUUUUGAACAAGAAGACAACCUCUGUUUGUGUUUAUUUUCUCUAUCUCUCUCAUGAAAUCCAAAAUCAUUUUUGACUUUUGCAGUCUCAUCUUCUUCCCAUCUCAAUCAGAUAAUCCAACUCUUUUUUUGGAUAAUAUCAGUGAUUAACUUCAUUUGGAUAUCAAGCUAAUCUAAAUAACUAAUCAGUAUAGCUAAGGUCCAUAAUGUUGUAUAUCCAAUUACUGUAGCUAAAUUGUAGUUGAAAUUAUCAGAAUGAGAUUAGUCGUUAAUUUAACUAUUAAUUUUUAUUUUUAUUUGGAUCAAAUUUCAACUAUUAAUUUUACUGUAGAUUAAUUACUGAUCAAACAAAAUCAAAUCUGGUCGGUUAUCUAUCUACUAAAAUAAUCAUAUCUCAACCAGAUCUAAUCAAAAUUCCUUUCCUCUAAAUAGUAAAAAUACCAAGGCAUCAUCAUCAACAUCAAAAUCUCCUACUUUUUUAUCUUCAAGAACAACAAUCACAAGAUUUUGAGUCAUCAUCAGAAUUGUAUAAACUAGAUAUAAAAAUAAAAAUACAACACAAUGUGUUUCAUUUUCAAGACAACUCAGAGACGUUUCAACAAUUCAGCAACGAAACUGUCUCUAGAAACACCUUUAACUUCCUCCUCACUCCACUCGACCAUCUUCUUCAAUGUCACAACACCUUUACUGAGUUCUGUGUUGCCUACAAUCACCAUCCAAGGAAUCUCUGAACCCUUGCAACGAGCACGAUCAAAAUGUUUUCCUCUCCUUUGGUCACAAUAUACUGACUAGCCAGUUCUGCAGCUUCCCCUAGCUUAUUCUCCUCCGUUACACUAACCAAAACCUGUGUCUCUGUAGAUAGAACAACCUCCAAUUCAUACCAAAACAAAAAAUAAAAGUUAGAAAAAACAAAAUCUUAGGACAGUAAGAAAAAAAGAUUGAGAAGUAAGUUUUUACUCGUUUUUGUUCCUCUUCCAGUUUUUGUCACUUUUCCAAUAUAUUAAACACUCGCUCGAUCCCCAGGCUCAUGCCAACCGCAGGGACUUGCUUUGCUCCAAACAUUCCUAUAAGGUUAUCAAUUUUGAUGAUGUCCUUGUCACAAAACUCAACUUAACUUCUUCACUUUCCAGGCACAAAUCUUGGUAAGUUCAAAAGUGUAUUAACUCUUGCAACACCUUCUAGUGCAGAAUACUCUGUUCCAUGUUCUGUAUCCUCUUCUUUUAUCAGCUUCUCAGCUUCACUUUAGUCUAGAGCAAUAUCUUUCCCUGUUCUGACAGUACUAGACCUGCCUAGACCGCUUGGACCUGAUCCAUCAUCAAUCUCAUCUCCAUCUUCAAGUUUGGAGAAGGAAGAAGCUGUAGAUAUGGCGUUUGAGCCAUUGGAGUUUAGAUACAAGCAGACCGCAGCACAGUCAUCGACUUUGGAGGUUGGGUACUUGUGUCUCCACGCUCUAACCGCAGUCUCAACUAAAGCUCUUGCUGCAGAGGAACGUGAUGGUGCUGAAGCUACAAUCUUCACUACUUCCUCAUUUGAGAGUACAUCCCAAAUCUAUCACACAAAAACAUUAGAAACUGAGCCAAGAAAAUGGAUAGAGAAAAGGAAUGUUUAUGCUCUUAUCAAUUACCCCAUCUGUAGCCAACACUAUGAACUCAUCUUUUUCGGUUAAUCGGCGAAAUGAAACCUCAGGGACAGAGAUUAGACCAAAGUCUUUAAGGCAAAAGUCUCCGAAAGCACGUGCCAUUGCAAGACCAGGCGAGUCACAGUUUGGGAGCCAGACUCUACAAACAUCAGGCUCAUCUCUAAGAGCAAACACACGUCCUCUACACUUCUUUAUUCUCUCCUCCUCAGCUGCAAAAAUCAAGCAAUCAGCACAACUUCAACAAUGAGAUCCAUCAUAAGUUCUUUGUUAUCAUUCAAACCUGGUAGAUUUGGCUUGAGAUCCACAGUUAGUUGAACAGCAACAAGACCAUUUUUACCGUCUCUUGUCCCCAUCACAGCUCUAGAGUCUCCAACGUUUCCAACAACGAGAUACUCACCCUACCAUAAAGCAUAGAAUAUAUAAUAAAAACCAAGAAACAGUGAACCACACUACCAAGCCGAGAGAGUACCUGUUUGAUCAAAGUCACAGCCGUUGUACCACUGCAGAAACAGUCAACACUCCCAUGGAACUUAAGCUCUCUAUCCAUAACAUUAAAAGCCUUAAGAAACGCCUCUUUCAGAGUUUGAAAUAGUUCAGACUCUGUGUUCUCUGGUCUAGGUUCUUCCUCGGUAGAUACAAAAGAAGCAGCAUCUUCAGAGUUGUUGUUGGCACUAUUAUUAGCAGUCUUUAGAGAAGCUUCAACAGGUACUUUAGCUUCCCAAUAAGCACUUAACUUGAGAGGAAGAUUGUCUCUGACUCUCUUAGCAACCAUAUGACCAAAAGGACCAUGCCCAUCAAACACUCCACAGAACACUGUAUCCGUCCUCGAACCAAAACUCUGCAACACACAAAAUGAAAAACCUAUAAGAGAACCAUAAACAAAGAAGACUUAAUUUGUUUUUUUUCUAAACUAACCUCCCAAACAACCAUGGCGUCUUGGUUAGGCCCUUUCUUGCCUUGUUGAGUGAAGAUACAAGCGACCUCACUAGAUCCAUUCAAGAACAUACGACCGGGGACUCGAUGGAGAGGAUCAUCUCUCCUGGAGUCAAAGGAGGAGUUUCUGGAACCGCCAAGUCUCUUAUUCUUGGAGUUUUUUCUUUUUCUCACACCAAAGCCAGGAGAGCAAGGAGAGCCCGGUCUAGGACUCAUGCUCUCAGCAGAUAGACAGGACCCCAUUCUCAGGGCCCUGAUGAUAUUGAAAAGGCACUCCAGGACCAACUAGUUGUACAAUCACACACCCACGGUGGUCUUCACCAAAAGUGGCAAAUGAAGAUUCAGCUAUGGAAAUAAAAAAAUAAACCACUCUUUAUGAUCACCAGAAAGAGCAAAUAAUGAGUAAGGAAGGAAGAAGAAACAAACCUUUAUAUUAUUAGUACCAGCUACUUUCUGCAAGAACACAUAUAGAGAGAAUAAUAAUACAGAGCAGUGUGAAUCUUAAAAAAAAAAAAACAAAAUUGAAUAUAAAAAUGAAGCCUUUCAAAGCUGACCAAGAAAAAGGUAAGGUAUGACUUCUCUGGGUUGUCUCUUCAAAGAAGAAAGAAAAACACGUUUUUGUAAUCUCGCUUUCUUCUUACAAAAAAAAAAACAUUUUGUAGAGUAAUUUAAUACCCGAAAAAGUUUCUCUAUUGGCACCACACACACACACACACAAAAAGAAAAGAGAGACAGAGGUGUUUGUUUAUUUAUUCAUCAGAACACAUCAAAAGAGUGAUUGAGAAAGAGACUGCAAACACGAGAAACAUCACAACCGUUUCUCUCUCAUUUCUU